CAGAGUUGCAACUGCUUCCAUGGCUGUUGGAGGCUCACCAAUGACGUGAAGCCCACAAGGUAACAGGCGAGACUCAAUCUCCAUGAUUUUGGAAUACACCUUUCCAACCACAAGAUCUCGUUCUUUUGCUGAGAUUUCCAUUCCUUCUUCAGGUAGGUCUACGUCCUUGUCAAGAUUGCACUGCUUGGCUGUGCUGAUUAUUGAGCUAACGAUCUGUGACCCGCGGCCUGUGUCUCUCAGGGAUUGGUAGGAGGAGAUGAGCUCACUCAACUGCUUAAGACCUUUAUAAAGUCCAGCAUUUUCUGCAGGAGGAGUCAGAUAGCUGAUGGUGUUGGCAUAGCUCCGACGUUUAGCUAUCGUAGCUUCAGAUGGGUUGUUAGCAGCAUAGUAAUAGACAUUGGGAAUGUUCCCAAUCAGACUGUCCGGGAAGCAGGCAUCACUCAUUCCCACCUGUUUUCCAGGCAUGAAUUCGAGUGAACCAUGUGUACCGAAAUGUAGAACAGCAUCAGCUUGGAAAAUCUUUUCAACAAAUGAAUAGUAUGCUGCAAAGCCGUGAUGUGGGCUAGCAGAUUUGGAGAACAGCAGCCUCAUCGGAUCACCCUCAUAGCCAAAUGUGGGCUGAACCCCGAUGAAGACAUUUCCGUACUGUUUUCCAUAUACCAAUAGAUUCUCUCCAUCGGAGUUGAGGUUACCAGGAGGUUUUCCCCAGUUUUCCUCCAACGCAGUGGCAUAUGGAGUCAGACUUUGAUAUUCACGGACCCCCAUCUUGUAAGCGACAUUCAGAUUUGGGCUGCUGAAUUGAGCUUCUUUGUCAUGAAUUACAUCCUCAAUCAAGGCAUCUGAAGUCUCUGGAAGGUUCUCAACGUUGUAACCAUCUCUCUUGAGUUCUUGCAGAACAGCGAAGAUUGAGGAGAAAACAUUGAGGUAGGC
RNAcentral lists this long non-coding RNA (930 nucleotides) under Malus domestica (apple). Its description in RNAcentral is "long non-coding RNA (MDOM_LNC013758)". Lineage: Eukaryota; Viridiplantae; Streptophyta; Magnoliopsida; Rosales; Rosaceae. The record is from RNAcentral.